Molecule: ribosomal RNA, 491 nt
Filed under: uncultured bacterium
Lineage: Bacteria
Description: partial 16S ribosomal RNA
Rfam family: Bacterial small subunit ribosomal RNA
Source: RNAcentral
AGUGAACGCUGGCGGUAGGCCUAACACAUGCAAGUCGAACGGCAGCACAGUAAGAGCUUGCUCUUACGGGUGGCGAGUGGCGGACGGGUGAGGAAUACAUCGGAAUCUACUUUUUCGUGGGGGAUAACGUAGGGAAACUUACGCUAAUACCGCAUACGACCUACGGGUGAAAGCAGGGGAUCUUCGGACCUUGCGCGAUUGAAUGAGCCGAUGUCGGAUUAGCUAGUUGGCGGGGUAAAGGCCCACCAAGGCGACGAUCCGUAGCUGGUCUGAGAGGAUGAUCAGCCACGCUGGAACUGAGACACGGUCCAGACUCCGACGGGAGGCAGCAGUGGGGAAUAUUGGACAAUGGGCGCAAGCCUGAUCCAGCCAUACCGCGGGGGUGAAGAAGGCCUUCGGGUUGUAAAGCCCUUUUGUUGGGAAAGAAAAGCAGCAGGUUAAUACCCCGCUGUUCUGACGGUACCCAAAGAAUAAGCACCGGCUAACUUCGU